GCACCAAUAGCUCAGCUGGAUAGAGCACCAGACUACGAAUCUGGGGGGUAGAGGUUCGAAUCCUUUCGGGCGCG
This 74-nucleotide transfer RNA is filed under the name Paramesorhizobium deserti. It matches the Rfam family "tRNA". From Rfam's summary of the family: Transfer RNA (tRNA) molecules are approximately 80 nucleotides in length. Their secondary structure includes four short double-helical elements and three loops (D, anti-codon, and T loops). The record is from Rfam by way of RNAcentral. Lineage: Bacteria; Pseudomonadati; Pseudomonadota; Alphaproteobacteria; Hyphomicrobiales; Phyllobacteriaceae.